GUUUGAUCCUGGCUCAGGAUGAACGCUAGCUACAGGCUUAACACAUGCAAGUCGAGGGGAAACGAUAGAGAAAGCUUGCUUUUUCCAGGCGUCGACCGGCGCACGGGUGAGUAACGCGUAUCCAACCUGCCCAUCACUUGGGGAUAACCUUGCGAAAGUAAGACUAAUACCCAAUGAUAUCUCUAGAAGACAUCUGAAGGAGAUUAAAGAUUCAUCGGUGAUGGAUGGGGAUGCGUCUGAUUAGCUUGUUGGCGGGGUAACGGCCCACCAAGGCUACGAUCAGUAGGGGUUCUGAGAGGAAGGUCCCCCACAUUGGAACUGAGACACGGUCCAAACUCCUACGGGAGGCAGCAGUGAGGAAUAUUGGUCAAUGGGCGAGAGCCUGAACCAGCCAAGUAGCGUGCAGGAAGACGGCCCUAUGGGUUGUAAACUGCUUUUAUAAGGGAAUAAAGUGAGUCUCGUGAGACUUUUUGCAUGUACCUUAUGAAUAAGGACCGGCUAAUUCCGUGCCAGCAGCCGCGGUAAUACGGAAGGUCCGGGCGUUAUCCGGAUUUAUUGGGUUUAAAGGGAGCGUAGGCCGGAGAUUAAGCGUGUUGUGAAAUGUAGAGGCUCAACCUCUGCACUGCAGCGCGAACUGGUCUUCUUGAGUACGCACAACGUGGGCGGAAUUCGUGGUGUAGCGGUGAAAUGCUUAGAUAUCACGAAGAACUCCGAUUGCGAAGGCAGCUCACGGGAGCGCAACUGACGCUGAAGCUCGAAAGUGCGGGUAUCGAACAGGAUUAGAUACCCUGGUAGUCCGCACGGUAAACGAUGGAUGCCCGCUGUUGGCCUGAAUAGGUCAGCGGCC
Molecule: ribosomal RNA, 847 nt
Filed under: uncultured bacterium
Lineage: Bacteria
Description: bacterial SSU rRNA
Rfam family: Bacterial small subunit ribosomal RNA
Source: RNAcentral